GACGAACGCUGGCGGCGUGCUUAACACAUGCAAGUCGAACGGAAAGGCCUCUUUCGGGGGGUACUCGAGUGGCGAACGGGUGAGUAACACGUGAGUAACCUGCCCUUUACUUUGGGAUAACUUCAGGAAACUGGGGCUAAUACCGGAUAGGAGCUCCUGCUCCACGGUGGGGGUUGGAAAGUUUCGGCGGUUGGGGAUGGACUCGCGGCUUAUCAGCUUGUUGGUGGGGUAGUGGCUUACCAAGGCUUUGACGGGUAGCCGGCCUGAGAGGGUGACCGGCCACAAUGGGACUGAGAUACGGGCCAGACUCCUACGGGAGGCAGCAGGGGGGAAUAUUGCACAAUGGGUGGGAGCCUGAUGCAGCAACGCCGUGGGCGGGAUGACGGGCUUCGGGUUGGAAACCGCUUUCGCUCAUGACGAAGCUUUGUGUGACGGUAGUGGGUAAAGAAGCACCGGCUAACUACGUG
This 467-nucleotide ribosomal RNA is filed under the name uncultured bacterium. RNAcentral describes it as "partial 16S ribosomal RNA". It matches the Rfam family "Bacterial small subunit ribosomal RNA", at positions 28 to 507 of the family's 1533-position model. The record is from RNAcentral.